GAUGAACGCUAGCGGCAGGCCUAACACAUGCAAGUCGAGGGAGGAGCUUUCGGGCUUCGACCGGCGUACGGGUGCGUAACGCGUAUACAAUCUGCCUUUCACAUAGGGAUAGCCCGAAGAAAUUUGGAUUAAUACCUAAUGGUAUAUAGUUGUGGCAUCACAUUUAUAUUAAAGCUGAGGCGGUGAAAGAUGAGUAUGCGUUCUAUUAGCUAGUUGGAGAGGUAACGGCUCCCCAAGGCGACGAUAGAUAGGGGUUCUGAGAGGGAUAUCCCCCACACUGGUACUGAGAUACGGACCAGACUCCUACGGGAGGCAGCAGUGAGGAAUAUUGGACAAUGGUCGGAAGACUGAUCCAGCCAUGCCGCGUGCAGGAAGACGGCCUUAUGGGUUGUAAACUGCUUUUGCAGGGGAAGAAUAAGGAGUACGUGUACUUUGAUGACGGUACUCUGCGAAUAAGCAUCGGCUAACUCCGUGCCAGCAGCCGCGGUAAUACGGAGGAUGCGAGCGUUAUCCGGAAUCAUUGGGUUUAAAGGGUCCGUAGGCGGGCUAAUAAGUCAGAGGUGAAAGCGCUCAGCUCAACUGAGCAACUGCCUUUGAAACUGUUAGUCUUGAAUGGUUGUGAAGUAGUUGGAAUGUGUAGUGUAGCGGUGAAAUGCUUAGAUAUUACACAGAACACCGAUAGCGAAGGCAUAUUACUAACAAUUAAUUGACGCUGAUGGACGAAAGCGUGGGGAGCGAACAGG
Molecule: ribosomal RNA, 743 nt
Filed under: uncultured Capnocytophaga sp.
Lineage: Bacteria; Pseudomonadati; Bacteroidota; Flavobacteriia; Flavobacteriales; Flavobacteriaceae
Description: bacterial SSU rRNA
Rfam family: Bacterial small subunit ribosomal RNA
Source: RNAcentral